Long non-coding RNA from Betta splendens (Siamese fighting fish), 3978 nucleotides. RefSeq lists it as uncharacterized. The record is from RefSeq and is a predicted model, not a curated record. The transcript is spliced from 3 exons. Lineage: Eukaryota; Metazoa; Chordata; Actinopteri; Anabantiformes; Osphronemidae.
CAGGGAGCGAGCAGCGCGACGUCAACACUUUCAUGUCGUCCUUUCUCACUGUGAUCCGAAAUUUCAUCAGCUGUGCCCCCAAAACACUUUUUUCACCUUAGAUCCACUCUGUGCUUUUCAACUACAGGCAAUUGAUGCAGAGGAGCUGCUGCCGACGCUUUGGAGCUCCCUCUCGUGGAAUCACUGCAAAGAGACGAGCAGCACGGCUGCUUUGUUCAGGCAGCUCAAACAGGGCAGAACAGGAAGUCCUGGGUUGAGGCGGGCGUCACCUCGCACAUUGUGUGCUCAGGGUGACCAUCUGCUGGCCCGUCUCAGCUCAGACAGUGUCCUGUGACAGCGCACGCCGGUCCUCACCCGACCUUUGGUGCCGUCUAUGACGCUGCGCGGGGCUCGUCUCACAACCGGCGCUUCCAGCGAGCCGCUCGAGCCGCUUCGAGGGGAUCCGAGGAGGGGCCUCAAGCUGCUAUAGACUUUAAUACAUGUUGUUCAAAUAAGUGCAGCUUAGAGCUCCACGCGCAGGCUCCGCAAGCUGGGAACAAAGACCUACCUCCACCUUCUCUCCAGCCUUUAAACUGGAAGUCAGCCACCUCCUAACUCACCAACAAACACAGUCACGAUUCAAACAAAGCCACUUUUUAUGUCUAUUUGAAUGUCCACAUAACAGCAACGGCUCAUUUCCUGCUGAAAUACUUACAUCAAAUGUCAGCUGGUGAUGGAAACUAGGUCCCAGCAGCCCUCUCAUACUCAACCCUAAUGAUUCUAGUCCAUACAGAAAGGAUUAGUGGGUUUUUUUGUAAAUUUAACACACUUCCUGUUUAUUGUGAGCAGAAGCUGCUUGAGCCUGUCUCUGGUUUUGUAAUGACUUUGUAACAACACACUCAAUGCAGCUCUCUACUGAAACUAAGCGUAACUGUAACUUCUUCUGUUUAUCACUAUCUCAGCCAAGUCCGCUUUUAAUACAUACAAACAUUUGUCAUAUAUAAAUAAUGGCUCGUCAUCAGCAUCAGAGCCAGCGCACUGACUCUACUAAGACCGUGGCGACCGGAGCUGGGCGCGUGCGCCAGCAGAGGGCAGCACGCAGCCUCGUUCAGAGCCGUUCCAGGAGCAGUGGCCUCAGCUGUAGCUCUGUUUUCCGUUUAAGGCAAUUGAAAAGCUGCUUAUCCUGUAAUAUCAGCCUAUUUACCUAAGAUUUGCACAAAAUGUGCAAGAACUAUUUUCCUCCUGGGGCCACAUGUCGUUUUCAUUUCUGCUUAAAAUGUCCUUGUCCUUCUUAUUUCGCGCUCACAUGGAUAAUAAGGACGGGGUUAUGGAAACCACUUAGGAAAAGUGGUGAUUUUGUGGUUUGUGCUGUCACUUGCAUGGAUCCGUAAGCUGCAGACAGCGGCGCACAUGACAGUUGUGACACCGCGCGCACAAACCACUAUGUAUUCCUACGCCGUGCUGAGCUUUUCUUGCACUAAAUAAAUCCUUUUCUUUUAGGGCCAUAAUGAGCGGGAGGCAUAUAAAACUCUAAAGAGAAGGGAGAAUUGAGACGCAAUGCGAUGAGAUGGGAGAAGCAAGGGGAGAGAAGAGAGACUUGAUGGCUGGUGCCAGAUCUGUGGUACAGGCAGAGGGAAAGAGGGAGUGAGAGCUCCUCUAGUCUUAGCCCCAUUUGAAACAGAUGCUGUUUAUAACCCAAAACCUUAAUGGGGAGCUCUCUGGUCUGGUGCUGGCCUAUGAUCGCGUUCCAGCCUAGCUCCAGUGCCCAUCUUUUUUUCUUGUAUGGGGAAAAAUGCCACAGGAAAAAAAUAUAUCUACUCUCCCCCUCCUGUACCAGGGGCAGCUCCUCUGUGAAGCCCUAGAUUUAUCCAAUCAAACCCCGCUCUCUGUGCUCACUUCAAAUAGCCGCCCCCCUGACUCCAGCCCUGCACUAAAAGGAGCCCUCAUCUUUCCUCUGACCACACAGCAAUAUGACCAAAGACAUGCUUAUUAUUUUAUAGACUGUGAUCUCUGAGCGCGUGUUAAAACAUAACCUAAAAGUGUGGAUUUUCAGGUUACACGUGAUCCCUUAAUAAAAUGCACCCAGCUGGUUGGCACCACGUUUUCAAAUGGGAGCAUCGGAAAUAACGCAGGUUAUAGGAGGAUGAGGCAGCUGUUGGUUCUGCCCCCGUGUGCACGUGCACCCCAAGGUUUUGUGUGAAGCAAAAAAUUUUUUAUUUAAGCGCCUCACUAAAAACCAAUUCAAGACUUAUUUUGAUUUCACAAACCUUUUAAUCUACUCCCGGUGAGUGCACAAGAUCAAAGAGGGAGCCGGCCACUUCUCAUCAUGCAAGAAAUAACAUUAUAUCUAUUCCAUUACUGGAAAACGUCGCCAAGAUUAGGACAGAUGAUUACUCGUCUAGAUGCUAUUUCAAGCAGAGAAUUAACUGGUAUUUAGUUUUUGCCCACUGGUCACAGUGACAAAGUGUAAUUUCGAUCUUGGAAUGCACAUGUGAAGCAAAGCAGAAUGACGGGAAGAAAAUAUCAUCAUUUGUCUUUUCUGCAGCUUUGCCCUAAUAGCAAAGGCAGGAAAUCCUUUUAACAUGCUGUCCUGUGCGUCCUGGUCCAUUUGCGUUGGGUUGUUUGCAAACAGCAUUUUAUGUUUUGAUUAAUUCUCCUGAGAUGUGAUUGCAUGACAUCAAUUUUAUUUCUGUGAAUGUGUCUUUGAAUUAGAAAUAAAGCAGUUCUUUAUAGUUUUAUAAGUAAAAUGUAUAACAUUAAUGAUGCCGUAAUUGUUUUAAUCACAUUUUUAUUGAACAAAAUAAAAGACAAACUAAUCCAAUCUUCAACCCUGAAGAGGCCUUAAAGUUUAAGAUAAGAAGAGAGAAGGCUUUUAGAGAUUUAAUACUGUGCUGGAAAUGAUGCCUGUCUGGACUGGAGGGCAGGACUGCACAGAUCAAACAUGGGUUAAAGGGCAGUUUAAUGUUAAUAUCUGAUGUGACUUUAAGACAGGUAUCUGCCGGGACAUAAUUAGUAUGACGUUGCAAUCGUUGGAGCGAGCUGGGUUUCAGAGCACACAGCACACGGCACAUUCACUCUGAUUUAUAGCAAACACUGAAAGCAAAUGGGACACUGGGGGGAAAUUACACACUAUUAUUCCUGGGCUUAAACGUGAAAACAGCUCCUUUCAAAUAAAGACUAAACUCUGUCACUGCUGUGAUCUCGAAGGUGAUGAAACCUUCGAUGGAAGUUGUAGGGGAGCUUGAACUCUUCCAGGAUUAAAGGCGGUGGGGCCUGCGCUAUUAAGGACAGCUUGACUAGAAUGGGAAAAUAAAAGAUCUCGAGAACUUCUUCCUGUUUUGCCUUUUCUUUGCAACAGGAAAAGAAAGUUGCGGGCUCAGAAGCAGAACGUGGGAGCUUUGAUGUAAACUUCGCCUUUUAAAGAAUUCCUGUGUCAUUUUUGUGUGCCGUGUGAAGUUAAAGGGUUUUUUUUGAGGCCACGUCAUUUUUUUUCUUUACUGCUUGAUGGAGUUCCACUGUUGCGCAGACUCCUCUAUGAAACAUCCGUGUUGAUAAAUCACAAAUCUCCAAAGGCUCACCGGUCCAUGCCGCUAUUUCCACAUUUUUUGUGUCAUGAAGGCCCUUUAAGUAUAUAGAAAAACUGUGCCAUUCAAAUAUUUUGAUGCCUCUCUCCCCAUAAUUUACAACAUAAUUGUCUAUUUUUUCCCAUGCAUUAGUCUGGGAUCACAGACCCCCGAGGUUCAGACAUCUCUUUUCUGAGCCCAGAUCAAAUAGAGCUAGCUAACCAACACACUGGAUUCCCUCGCAAGGAAAACUGGGCUGCAUAAAUAUGGAUUUUAAUCACUGCCCACUAUUUAUCUUUCUCCUCCACUCAUCUUUUGAUGUUUCCAUAUUUCCAGGCUAUAAUAUGAGUAACAUCCUAAUCAGGGUGUGACAGGAAAAUCACUGUAUUUAUAUGAUUUCCUUUAACUGUUGUUUCUUCAAAGUUUAUAUAUUUGC